RNA transcript from Leucoraja erinaceus (little skate), 4177 nucleotides. RefSeq lists it as uncharacterized. The record is from RefSeq and is a predicted model, not a curated record. NCBI's taxonomy places the organism in Eukaryota, Metazoa, Chordata, Chondrichthyes, Rajiformes, Rajidae. The transcript is spliced from 3 exons.
AGGGGGAGUUAAAUUGCUGAGUAACUGGGAGAUCAGGUAGGUUAAGGCGGACUGAGCGGACUUAUCUCUGUCCUGCACAUUCCCCUGACAUCAGUCUGAAGAAGGGUCUCGAUCCGAAACGUCGCCCAUUCCUUCUCUCCAGAGAUGCUGCCUGUCCUGCUGAGUUACUCCAGCAUUUUGUUUCUACCUUCGAUUUAAACUAACAUCUGCAGUUCUUUCCUACACAAAAUAUUUGUAAAGACAGCCGGUAGAAAAGUAUUAUUAUGAGAGAUCAGAUUCAAUUACAAUGGAAUAUAAUAUCUUGAUCAGGUAGUUACAGAUAGAGAAAGGGGUUUGUACCACACUAUAUGCUGUAUAACUAUCCUUACUAUGCUGCUCCAUACCUGGCUGUCACAUUGCAAACAGAGAACAAAAAUAAAUCGAUCUUUUUUAUGCUGUGAGGAUUUAAUCAGUGGAAUACCGCAGGGAAUGGUCCUUGGUCUUCAUUUCAUCAAUAACCUGGAGAAGGGAAUGGAAUGCACAGUUUCCAAGUUUGCAAAAAUGCGUGGAAGCACAUGUUGUGAGGUGGACAUUGUGAAUGUGCAAUGGGAAAGAGAAAGAUUGAGUGUUGUGCCAAAAUGGAGCUCAAUGUGGAGAAGUGAAAGGUCAAACCCUUCAAUAAGAGGAAUCAAAAGGCAACGUAUUAGGUCGGCAGGUUGCUAAUGAGCGAGUCUCAUGCAUGAAUCACAACCGACUAGCAGACAGGUCCAACAGACAGUAAAGGGCAGCACAGUGAUGCAGCGUAGAGUUGCUGCUUUACAGCGCCAGGGACCCGGGUUCGAGCCUGCCUAUGGGUGCUGUUUGUGUGGAGUUUGUUUGUUCUUCCUGGGUCCACAUAGGUUUUUUCUGACUGCACUGGUUUCCCCCCAUACUCCAAAGAUGUACAGGUUUGUAGGUUAAUUGGCUUUUGUAAAAUUGUAAAUUGUCCCUAGUGUGUAUCCCUAGAGGGAUAGACAGAGUUGACGUGGAUAAGCUUUUCCCACUGAGAGUAGGGAAGAUUCAAACAAGGGGACAUGACUUGAGAAUUAAGGGACAGAAGUUUAGGGGUAACAUGAGGGGGGACUUCUUUACUCAGAGAGUGGUGGCUGUGUGGAAUGAGCUUCCAGUGAAGGUGGUGGAGGCAGGUUUGUUUUUAUCAUUUAAAAAUGAAUUGGAUAGUUAUAUGGACGGGAAAGGUAUGGAGGGUUAUGGUCUGAACGCAGGUGUAUGGGACUAGGGGAGAAUACGUGUUCGGCACGGACUAGAAGGGUCGAGAUGGCCUGUUUCCGUGCUGUAAUUGUUAUAUGGUUAUAUGGUGUAGGGUUGCGCAGGUGUAUGGGGUGAUCGCUGGUCGGCGUGGACUUGGUGGGCUGGAGGACCUUUUUCCGUGCUGUAUCUCUAAUGUCUGAAGCCUAAGACGGUAAAGGGCAUUUUGUCCUGAUUGCAAAACGGUUAUAAUUUAAAAAAUGGAAACAUCUUAUUACAAUUGUGCUGGGUUUGGUGGAGCUACAACUUUAAAACUGUGCACAGUUUUGACCUUUACCUAAAAAGGGAUAUAUUAAAAUUAGAGGAUGACCAAAGGUGAUUCACCAGGAUAAUUCUUGGGAUCAAAGGGUUAAUCUAUCCUUGUUGUUUAGAAGAAUGAAGGUGACUUUACUCAAACAUUGAAGAUCUAUGGGGGAGGGGUGACAGAAUAGAUGUUGAGAUGUUUUCACCAAUGGGAGAGUCACGAAAAAGGAGACAUGGGUACAAGAUCAGAGAUUGGUCAUUUAAAAAUUAGAUGCUAGAAAUUUAUUUUUGCAGCGAGUUGUGGAUCCCUGGAAUUCUCUGACCACAAGAGUGAUGGAGGCUCGAUCAAUGGAAAUAUUUAACGAAAAGAUAAAUAAAUAAUGAAAAAUGAAAUGAAAUGAUUCAAUUUAUUGUCAUUGUCAGUGUACAGUACAGAGACAAUGAAAUGCAUUUUUAGCAUCUCCCUUGAAAGGGAGACACAGGGCGUCGUGGUGUGCCCGCGCCUGCCGCCGUAACAUUCCAUUACAGGCAAAGGUGGGUGAAGUGUCUUGCCCAAGGACACAACGACAGUAUGCACUACAAGCGGGAUUUGAACCGGCUACCUUCCGGUCGCCAGCCGAACUCUUAGCCCAUUGUGCUAUCUGUCGCCCAUUGUGCUAUCUGUUGAAAGAUCGAGGAAUGGAGAGCUUGGUGGAACUAACACAGAAGAGAAGUUGAAGUUAGCACAGAUUAGCCAAGAUCAUAUUGAAAGGCAGGGCUGGUGUGAGGGGCCUGGUGGUCUCCUCCUGCUCCUAUUUUCUUGUGUACCCAUGGCCAAGAUCAGAGCAUUGAAUACAAUCAAAAUAGAUGAGCCUGGUAUGUGUGAUUCCCAUGCCCAUGGGGAUAUAUGUUUGGUCUAUCUUCCCCACAUGUUUUAUUUUCCUCCCUCUCCCUCUCCCCCUCCCCCUCUCCCACUCUCUCCCUCUCUUGUCUCCUGCUGCACAGAUGACAGUAAGACACAGAAACAUGGGGAAUUUCCAUAUUGCAGUCAAGCAUCCAUUAUCACAAGAAUUGAAGCUAUAAACCACCUCAGUGUUUACCAUGAAUGGGUACUUUUCUCCUCCAACAUGGAGGUGGAAAAUUCUGCUUGAAACACCUGCUAUCGUUCUACAGACUGAUGCAAGUGCGCUAGGUUGGGGCGCCACUGGUACCAAUACCAGCUGUGGAGGUAGAUGGAAUGUGGAAGAGGUACCUUUGCUCGAAGCACAUGGAAUUAACUACCUAGAAUUGGCGGCAGCAACAUCGGCGGCCAAGGAUUUGGAUGUUCCAAUAGACCGUAUCCUCGAGGCUGCAGGAUGGGCAAGUGAACGGAUGUUUCACAAGUAUUACCAUAAAGAAAUAGCAGACCCUGGGGCAUUUGGUGGUGCUGUUUUGGAUUCAGUAUUAAAUGUUUCCCUGCAAUAAAAAGGGGACAAAAAAUGUUGUUAUGAUAAAUAAAACCAUUAACUGAUUACCUUAAUAUUAUGGUUGUAUACUAUUGAUUGUUUUUCACUCAUUUAGAGUCAAUCAAUGCAGUGAGACGCCUGGAUUUGAAUCUACGGCAUGAAAUCACAGAAGCUUUGAAAACUUCACGUAGUCACUCACGUGACUCCGAAGUAAAAUAGUAAGAUUGUGAGAACUUACCAGUUUGAAGUUUGAUCUUUAUUUUAUGGGGAGUUACAAUGAGGGACUACGUGCCCUCCGCUCCCACCCUCAUAAAGAUCAACAGGAAAUUAUGUUUGUCUCACGUAGCUUACUAUUAUGCUUCGGUAAAUUAUCAUCUGUGAUUUCACACCGCUGCUUUGAAGAUUGACGCGUAUGCGCCUGGACGGGGUCUUCUUCACCUAGUCCCUCAUCGUAACUCCUUAUAAAAUAAAGAUCAAACUUCAAACUGGUAAGUUCCCAUUUAGGCUUACUAUUAUAUGACCGUCCCGCCAUCCUGGGAAUUAACCUCGUGAACCUACGCUGCACUCCCUCAAUAGCAAGGAUGUACGUCCUCACCAAACCUGCACACAAUACUCCAGGUGUGGUCUCACCAGGGCCCUAUACAACUGCAGAAGGACCUCUUUGUUCCUAUAUUCAACUACUCUCUUUAUGAUGGCAACAUUCCAUUAGCUUUCUUCACUGCCUGUUGUACCUGCGUGCUUCCUUUCAGUGAAUGAUGUACUAGGACACACAGAUCUCGUUAUAUUUCCCCUUUUCCUAACCUGACACCAUUCAUAUCAUAAUCUCUCUUCCCGUUCUUGCCUCCAAAGUGGAUAACCUCAUAUUUAUCCACAUUAUACUGCAUCUGCCCACUCACCCAACCUAUCCAAGUCACUCUGCAUCAUACAAUCCUCUUCACACUGCUACCCAGCUUUGUGUCAUCUGCAAAUUUGCUAAUGUUACUUUUAAUUCCUUCAUCUAAAUCAUUAAUGUAUAUUGUAAAUAGCUGCAGUCCUAACACAGAGCAUUGCGGUACCCCACUAGUCACUGCCUGCCAUUCUGAAAGGGACUUGUUAAUCCCAACACUUUGUUUCCUGUCCGCCAACCAAUUUUCUUUCCAUGUCAAUAACCUACCCCCAAUGCCACUUGCUCUAAUUUUGCCCACUAAUCUCCACUGUGGGAAGUUAUCAAAGGCUUUCUGAAAGUC